RNAcentral lists this ribosomal RNA (488 nucleotides) under uncultured bacterium. RNAcentral describes it as "bacterial SSU rRNA". It matches the Rfam family "Bacterial small subunit ribosomal RNA", at positions 30 to 510 of the family's 1533-position model. The record is from RNAcentral.
AUUGAACGCUGGCGGCAUGCCUUACACAUGCAAGUCGAACGGCAGCACGGGAGCAAUCCUGGUGGCGAGUGGCGAACGGGUGAGUAAUAUAUCGGAACGUGCCCAGUCGUGGGGGAUAACGUAGCGAAAGCUACGCUAAUACCGCAUACGAUCUACGGAUGAAAGCGGGGGAUCGCAAGACCUCGCGCGAUUGGAGCGGCCGAUAUCAGAUUAGCUAGUUGGUGGGGUAAAAGCUCACCAAGGCGACGAUCUGUAGCUGGUCUGAGAGGACGACCAGCCACACUGGAACUGAGACACGGUCCAGACUCCUACGGGAGGCAGCAGUGGGGAAUUUUGGACAAUGGGCGCAAGCCUGAUCCAGCAAUGCCGCGUGCAGGAUGAAGGCCUUCGGGUUGUAAACUGUCUUUUGUACGGAACGAAACGGUGAGCUCUAAUAAAGCUUGCUAAUGACGGUACCGUAAGAAUAAGCACCGGCUAACUACGUGACC